Aricia agestis (brown argus) is the source of this 84-nucleotide long non-coding RNA. RefSeq lists it as uncharacterized. Lineage: Eukaryota; Metazoa; Arthropoda; Insecta; Lepidoptera; Lycaenidae. The transcript has 3 exons. The record is from RefSeq and is a predicted model, not a curated record.
AUUUAUGGACUCUAUUUUAAAAAAUUUAAAGUUUAUUUUCAAGUGCGUAAAUAAAAUCCUCUCCGCUGCGCUCCGUUCUGUCUG